CGUAGGGAGCAAGCGUUGUCCGGAUUCACUGGGUGUAAAGGGUGCGUAGGCGGGACAAUAAGUCAGUGGUGAAAUCUUACGGCUCAACCGUGAAACUGCCAUUGAUACUGUUGUUCUUGAGUUCGGGAGAGGUUGAUGGAAUUCCAGGUGUAGCGGUGAAAUGCGUAGAUAUCUGGAAGAACACCAGUGGCGAAGGCGGUCAACUGGCCCGAAACUGACGCUGAGGCACGAAAGCGUGGGUAGCGAACAGGAUUAGAUACCCUGGUAGUCCACGCCCUAAACGAUGAAUGCUUGGUGUUGGCCGGAAACGGUCAGUGCCGGAGGUAACCUGGUAAGCAUUCCACCUGGGGAGUACGCUCGCAAGGGUG
This 368-nucleotide ribosomal RNA is filed under the name uncultured organism. RNAcentral's name for it is "bacterial SSU rRNA". It matches the Rfam family "Bacterial small subunit ribosomal RNA", at positions 526 to 896 of the family's 1533-position model. The record is from RNAcentral.